Long non-coding RNA from Ictalurus punctatus (channel catfish), 1182 nucleotides. Lineage: Eukaryota; Metazoa; Chordata; Actinopteri; Siluriformes; Ictaluridae. The record is from Ensembl.
GAGAGAGAGAGAGAGAGAGAGAGAGUGUGAGUGUGAGUGAGUGAGUCAGUGUGAGUGUGUGUGUGUGUGUGUGUGUGUGUGCGUGCGCGCGCGCGCGUGUGCGAACACUUAACUGUUCACUUUCAGUAACUUUGCAGGUUUAACUCUGACUGAGAGCAGCACUUCUCUCGCGCGCCCGUCUCGCGGUGUCUGUAACCCGGAUGUUAAUCGUCACUGCAUUUAAAAUCUUUCAACAUAAAGACGAGUUUAAUGUUUAAAGGGAGCGGCGCGUCACACUGAAUAAACCGGAAGUGGAUUAAAAAAAGAAAAGGUAAAGUUUAAUAACAUUCGGUUUAUGUCGUGCUUUCUGUCAUGAGUCGUGUUUUUGUUUUCUGCGCGUGUGUAAAAUGUUUAAUUUCCUUCAUUAGCAUUAGCGUUAGCGUUAGCAGGCUAACAGGAAACACCGUUUGAAUAUUCUCUAGCAAACUAGCACGAGCUGAUGUUUGUGUUUAUUCCGCUUCUUUUCGUGAAUAUUGUAGAUCAUUAUCGUCAGCUCCUCUCAGAUAAAGAACAGAGUUAAUGCCACACCGCGGAGUUUGUAGUUUGUAGAAAUGUGUUGUUUUUGUUUAGACAUUCGCUUGGGGAAGAUCUGUAACGCUGGAUAACUAGCACUGACUUCAGUCCCUGAAGCGCAGUAACACUUGUAGUGCUGAAUAUUGUCUGAUCUCCGACCCUGAUCCGAUCUCGACGUCCUGUAGUCGUGUGUAAUACUAUAUCUGUGUUUAUCACUUCACACAUUCACCCCAUAAAGUUGAUCAACAGAUUGGAUCUGAAAGUACGUAAAUGAUCCGAUCCGAUCUCGGUAUUUUGAUAUGAAUUUGAUGUUGAUUAUGAGCAGUGAUUUAGGAGAACCUGUAUCUGACACACUCCAUAUUAAACACGUCCGAUAUUAAACAAUACACUUUUAUCAUCAGUGUUUUUAAAACAGUCACAAAGUCUGAUUAGAAAACAGCUGAUUGGACGUUACAUUUUAACUAAUAACUGCUGCGUCUGUAGCGUCCUUUAUUUUUUUAAACUGCAGCUCAGUGACGUGAUAAAUCUAAUAAUUAAUAAAUAAACAAACUGACUGACUGAUAGGAAAGAUGGGUGAAUAGGAAAGACAGACAGAUAGGAUGGACAGACAGGUGGAUAGGAUGAACAGAC